RNAcentral lists this transfer RNA (84 nucleotides) under Candidatus Woesearchaeota archaeon. RNAcentral describes it as "tRNA-Ser". It matches the Rfam family "tRNA". From Rfam's summary of the family: Transfer RNA (tRNA) molecules are approximately 80 nucleotides in length. Their secondary structure includes four short double-helical elements and three loops (D, anti-codon, and T loops). Lineage: Archaea; Nanobdellati; Candidatus Woesearchaeota. The record is from RNAcentral.
GCCGGGGUGGCGCAAUCUGGUACCGCGCAGCCCUGGAAAGGCUGUUUCCUUACGGAUAUCUGGGUUCGAAUCCCAGUCCCGGCG